CCUACGGGAGGCAGCAGUGGGGGAUAUUGCACAAUGGGGGGAACCCUGAUGCAGCGACGCCGCGUGGGUGAAGAAGCGCCUCGGCGCGUAAAGCCCUGUCAGCAGGGAAGAAAAUGACGGUACCUGAAGAAGAAGCCCCGGCUAACUACGUGCCAGCAGCCGCGGGAAUACGGAGGGGGCAAGCGUUAUCCGGAUGGACUGGGGGUAAAGGGGGAGCAGACGGCGAUGCAAGCACGGAGUGAAAGCCCGGGGCCCAACCCCGGGACUGCUCUUGGAACUGCGUGGCUGGAGUGCAGGAGGGGCAGGCGGAAUUCCUGGUGUAGCGGUGAAAUGCGUAGAUAUCAGGAGGAACACCGGUGGCGAAGGCGGCCUGCUGGACUGCAACUGACGUUGAGGCCCGAAAGCGUGGGGAGCAAACAGGAUUAGAUACCCGGGUAGUC
This 440-nucleotide ribosomal RNA is filed under the name uncultured bacterium. RNAcentral describes it as "partial 16S ribosomal RNA". It matches the Rfam family "Bacterial small subunit ribosomal RNA", at positions 338 to 795 of the family's 1533-position model. The record is from RNAcentral.